RNAcentral lists this unclassified non-coding RNA (194 nucleotides) under uncultured Agaricomycetes. Its description in RNAcentral is "sequence contains ITS1". Lineage: Eukaryota; Fungi; Basidiomycota; Agaricomycetes. The record is from RNAcentral.
AUGAAAACUUCAGGAGUUGCUGCUGGCCUCUCGAGGCACUCGUGCACGCUCCGUUUUUCAUCCACCCACACCUGUGCACAAUCCAUUUUGAGAGGAAGAAAGGGAUUUCUUCGGAGAGUCCUCUUUUCCUCCGAAAUUUAUCACACACUCUACGCAAUAGUCAGAACGAACUUGUUUUUUGUAAACAAACUUAA